RNAcentral lists this ribosomal RNA (234 nucleotides) under uncultured bacterium. RNAcentral describes it as "partial 16S ribosomal RNA". The record is from RNAcentral.
CUGCUGCCUUCCGUAGGAGUCUGGGCCGUGUCUCAGUCCCAAUGUGGCCGGCCAACCUCUCAGUCCGGCUACUGAUCGUCGCCUUGGUGGGCCGUUACCCCGCCAACUAGCUAAUCAGACGCGAGCUCAUCUCAGAGCGAUAAAUCUUUGACAGCCAGGGAGAUGCCUCCCAGCUGUAUCAUGCGGUAUUAGCGGCUGUUUCCAGCCGUUAUUCCCCCACUCCAAGGCAGAUUG